CUAUAAUCCAGUGGGGACCACUCAACCCUAGGGGGACCACUCAACUCUAACCGACUAAUAUCAUCCUGACCCUACAAUUUUUCAUCCAAGGGUUAAAAACUUGAUAGCAAAAAGAGCAUUUUACUAUUAAUAGUAUUCCAGCCUAAUUCUAUAUAUAUAGUAGGUCUUGUGUGCUAUUAGAAGCACGGAGGCCUCCAUGCUCCUAAGCCGUUUUCGAUGAUGGAGCUUCCGAAUCGACUAUCGGC
Molecule: long non-coding RNA, 245 nt
Filed under: Ananas comosus (pineapple)
Lineage: Eukaryota; Viridiplantae; Streptophyta; Magnoliopsida; Poales; Bromeliaceae
Description: long non-coding RNA (ACOM_LNC007007)
Source: RNAcentral